UGGUUCCCAACUGAACUACAACAGAACAAACACGGAUAUACCAAAAACAUAAAUCCACAAGUUUCAACGAUAUGCAAAUUCUAGUUGGGAAAUGUGACAACUUAAAUUGCACUAUUAACUUCGACAUAAAGAGAUGCCUGGGACAAGAACAUCCCGCAUCAAAAAGCUUCAUAAUCGACCUAUUCAAACUUGAGUCUCGUCUUUCGGAGAA
This 211-nucleotide unclassified non-coding RNA is filed under the name Hevea brasiliensis (rubber tree). The record is from RNAcentral. Lineage: Eukaryota; Viridiplantae; Streptophyta; Magnoliopsida; Malpighiales; Euphorbiaceae.